GACGAACGCUGGCGGCGUGCCUAAUACAUGCAAGUUGAGCGCUGAAGGUUGGUACUUGUACCAACUGGAUGAGCAGCGAACGGGUGAGUAACGCGUGGGGAAUCUGCCUUUGAGCGGGGGACAACAUUUGGAAACGAAUGCUAAUACCGCAUACAAACUUUAAACACAAGUUUUAAGUUUGAAAGAUGCAAUUGCAUCACUCAAAGAUGAUCCCGCGUUGUAUUAGCUAGUUGGUGAGGUAAAGGCUCACCAAGGCGAUGAUACAUAGCCGACCUGAGAGGGUGAUCGGCCACAUUGGGACUGAGACACGGCCCAAACUCCUACGGGAGGCAGCAGUAGGGAAUCUUCGGCAAUGGACGAAAGUCUGACCGAGCAACGCCGCGUGAGUGAAGAAGGUUGUCGGAUCGUAAAACUCUGUUGGUAGAGAAGAACGUUGGUGAGAGUGGAAAGCUCAUCAAGUGACGGUAACUACACAGAAAGGGACGGCUAACUACGUG
Molecule: ribosomal RNA, 497 nt
Filed under: uncultured bacterium
Lineage: Bacteria
Description: partial 16S ribosomal RNA
Rfam family: Bacterial small subunit ribosomal RNA
Source: RNAcentral